UACGUAGGGUGCGAGCGUUAAUCGGAAUUACUGGGCGUAAAGCGUGCGUAGGCGGUUCUCCAAGUCCGUUGUGAAAGCCCCGGGCUCAACCUGGGAAUGGCAGUGGAAACUAGGGGACUGGAAUCUGGCAGAGGGGGGUGGAAUGCCGCGUGUAGCAGUGAAAUGCGUAGAGAUGCGGCGGAACACCGAUGGCGAAGGCAGCCCCCUGGGCUGAGAUUGACGCUCAGGCACGAAAGGGUGGGGAGCAAACAGG
RNAcentral lists this ribosomal RNA (253 nucleotides) under uncultured bacterium. RNAcentral's name for it is "partial 16S ribosomal RNA". It matches the Rfam family "Bacterial small subunit ribosomal RNA", at positions 524 to 776 of the family's 1533-position model. The record is from RNAcentral.